This 465-nucleotide ribosomal RNA is filed under the name Triticum aestivum (bread wheat). RNAcentral's name for it is "partial small subunit ribosomal RNA". The record is from RNAcentral. Lineage: Eukaryota; Viridiplantae; Streptophyta; Magnoliopsida; Poales; Poaceae.
AUGUCCGGACUGGCCGCGAGCGCGCUGCCUCUCGCCGCAGGCCCGUCUCCGCUUCCGCGGUGCAGACUGACUCGACCCAGCGGCCUAACGAGGCCUCCACUACUCAAGGUUGCCGAGCUGCAACCAUGCCUUCUUCCCCGAUUUGCUUCGGCCAAGCGGCUGAAAUGUGCGGCUGCGUCGGGCAAUGGGCGUCAGGGACUUCGCGCCAGCCAAUACCGGUUUGAUGAUGAUGAGCCGCUGUGGCUUGCGGUGGUUAGAGAAUUCGCUGUGAGCGUGAGGAACUUGGUGGUUUUCUUGGCUGAGCAGCCAGGGCAAUUGAAGCACCUCGAAUGGCCGGGCUUCCGGAAUACAUUGAGGACGGCAGCACUUACUCUCAUACUCGUUGUGGUGUUCAUUGUUGCCUUGUCUUCCGUUGAUGCUGCCCUUUCAUACAUUUUGUCCUGGCUACUUCGGAAAUCUGCGUAG